Molecule: unclassified non-coding RNA, 336 nt
Filed under: soil metagenome
Description: partial contains 5.8S ribosomal RNA, internal transcribed spacer 2, and large subunit ribosomal RNA
Rfam family: 5.8S ribosomal RNA (bases 1-120)
Source: RNAcentral
GAUGAAGAACGCAGCGAAAUGCGAUAAGUAGUGUGAAUUGCAGAAUUCAGUGAAUCAUCGAAUCUUUGAACGCACAUUGCGCCCCUUGGUAUUACAUGGGGCAUGCCUGUUAGAGCGUCAUUUGUACCUUCAAGCUUUGCUUGGUGUUGGGUGUUUGUCUCGCCUUUGCGUGUAGACUCGCCUUAAAAUAAUUGGCAGCCGGCGUAUUGAUUUCGGAGCGCAGUACAUCUCGCGCUUUGCACUCAUAACGACAGCGUCCAAAAGUACAUUUUACACUCUUGACCUCGGAUCAGGUAGGGAUACCCGCUGAACUUAAGCAUAUCAAUAAGCGGAGGA